CCAAAGGCUCUUUUCAGAGCCACCCACCCACUCAUAUUAAGAGUUG
Molecule: non-coding RNA, 46 nt
Organism: Xenopus laevis (African clawed frog)
Lineage: Eukaryota; Metazoa; Chordata; Amphibia; Anura; Pipidae
Source: Rfam